CCCCCAUUCUCCCUCAGCAAACUCAGAUUUGAAAACCCUGUAGCUGCCACCCAUUUCUUUUCCCAUCGGCAACUCACACAAAGCUCCCUUUGAUUCCUUGAAAGAAAGAAACGAAGAAAGGGAGGAGGGAAACGGGAGAUCAGAGAAGUGGAGAGGGGAAGAGGAAGGACGGCGCCGGCGGGCAUCACUGCCGCCGCGCCGUCGUGUUGCCGUCGAAGGAGACGAAGCCGUGGACCAUAGUCACGAGCAGAAGAGAAAGCGCGAGACAGGGCACGUGAGACGGAGCCGCCACUGCUGGGUUGCCGUCCAGCCUCGCCCCACCUUCCAGCCUUCAUCACCACCGCGUCCACACCAUGCCGCCGCCUCUGUUCGUCACACCGUCACUCCUAGCCGCGCCGUCGCCAUUCGCGCGAGAGAGAGACGCGCCGUGAGGAGGGUAGCCACCGUGCUCAGUCGCCAUCACUUCCUCCCACCAUCGAGGCUCGCGUCACUGUCACUCAUGGCCGUCGCUCCUACUGUGCUCCAUUCGGGUUCUGGGUUGAGCGCGCCGCUGUUGCCGUUGGAAGCCGCUGCUGAGGCCGGAUUGCUAUGGUGGUUACUGUCCUUAUUAGUAGCGGGAGAGGAUGAGACGCGGUGAUAGUGGUUGGUCCCCCACCCUUGCUGCUGUGCUGUCAGAAUCUGCCGCCAUGGCCGUCGGAGCUCCGGGCUGAGCUUCUGCCACUUGAGACCCUGCUGCCACCGUGUUCCACCGUCGUUACCGUCACCGGUGUUUUUGCUCGCGUUUAUCACUUGGGGUUACUGACGAAGCCACUGCCAGGUUUAUAAGGAGCUGCGGCUGCUUCAUUUUGUUAUUUCAGAGUUAGAAUCUGGUUUGCUUAUGCCACUUGUAGCUGUUUCUGCUUUCGAGAGAGAGCAAGCCGAGUCGGGUUCUGAUUGCCGAUGAUUUCAGGCAGAGCGAAAAGAGUUCAGUUGACACGUUUGGAUUAUGAUUUUGGCGUUUUGAGGUAGGGGCGCUUUCCAAAAGUUAUGUUUUGUAUAUUGGAAUUAUUACAUAUGGAUACGGAUGUGAGAUAUUGUGUAUUUGGUGAUUGUAUCUGCCUUAUGUAUUAUUUGAUUGACUUGAAUGAUUAUGGAUGUUGGUUUGGCUGA
Molecule: long non-coding RNA, 1149 nt
Organism: Arachis duranensis
Lineage: Eukaryota; Viridiplantae; Streptophyta; Magnoliopsida; Fabales; Fabaceae
Exons: 3
Source: RefSeq, a predicted model, not a curated record